This 8418-nucleotide long non-coding RNA is filed under the name Lactuca sativa (garden lettuce). RNAcentral's name for it is "long non-coding RNA (LSAT_LNC000476)". Lineage: Eukaryota; Viridiplantae; Streptophyta; Magnoliopsida; Asterales; Asteraceae. The record is from RNAcentral.
AGAUCUGCUGUGGAUUACUACUUCUAUAAGCCGUAGUGCUGUCGGAUCGUCUUCUGAUCAAGUGAGUGUGUAGUUAUUUCUUCUAAUACAAUAAUACGAAGUAUUUUAUAUAAAAAUACGUGCUAUGUGUAUAUAUUUGGUUGUGUUAUGUGUGAAUGAGUAUUCACUCUCUUCUAUCUUAUAGAUCUGCUUAUUUCUUUAUGAGAUAUGUGUUAUGUGUGUGUGUGCCUCAUCUGUUAUGUGAUAUAUGUGUUGAUUAAAGCAUGCUAUACAGGUUUUCUUUAAACUAUGUAUACAAAUGUAUAUUUUUAUCUACUAAUAUGUUGGGUAGAACAUGGGUAGACAGUUGGUGUGUAAUAAACAGAUGAGAGGCCUCGUUGUUGUUUGAUUGAGUCAUCUAGCGGAGUUUAGAUGACGACCACUGGCUAUUCUAGACAGUCUUGUGGAAACAUUAGCAGGUUCGCCACCUGUAGGUGUUAAUGAACUUGGGUGUUCAUUCGCUGUACUCCAUCCCCCUCAUGGUUGCCUUAUUUGACUUAUAUUGCUGAGGUACCCCCGAAGCAUGUGUUGUCGCCCCGAUGAAAUAUUCUUAGACUAGGUCCCUUAUGUUAGUUGUUUUAGGGACAUUAAAGUGAGAAUAACGGGAAUGGGUAAUUGGGUUAUUGUUGGUUGGUGAAAAUUAAAUAUGAUAUUUAUUGUGGGUUGAAAACCCUAUAUGCUCACCAGGCUCCCAAGCCUGACCCACUCAGUUUUAAAUUGUAUUACAGGUAGUGGCGGAAGGGCAUGAGAUGGAUGAACCAUCAAGUUGUUUUGUUUACAAGUCUGCAUAUGUUUAUAUUUGUUAUAUGACUUGUAAUGUAUUCGUUUAUGCUUAUUGGUCUGUAUCGGAACAUGACACCCCGAGUUUUGAUUAUAAUGAAAAUACAUUUCUUUUAUGAAAUGCUUCGGUAAACAAUGUUUUAUCAUGUUUUGUUUUUGGGAACAAAUUCCGCAACUCUUUCAAAUCAAAAGGAUUUACUCUGAAAAUAUUUAAAAGCAUAAAUGAAAAUCGGUCUUUUCUGGCCGAGAUUUUGGGGAUGUCACAGUUGGUAUCAGAGCAUUAGUUUAAGCGAACUAGGAAUUUGUAGGAUUUCUAGACUUAAACUUAGAAUGCUAAGUGAAGUUUUGAGAUGUGUGUCUGUUGUGAUUUAGACACGAGCACUAGUUUAUUUUAGGAAAGUUGCCUAAAAUGCUUUAUGUGCUAAAUGUUAUAUGUUGCCAUAUAUGAUAUUAUUUGUUCGGAUCUAUGGUCUGUUGCCGACCGGAUCUAGAAACCUUAUGUGUGUAGGAUUCUAAGCGUACGUCUACGAUAUUAGAACUAGCAUGUAAACGUUUCGGAGUGAUAAGGAUGAUUUGAAUAUCUAUCAUGAUUGAGGAUCUAAUUUCACCUUAUUCGGUGUAGAUCAAAAUGGUGAGAACAAGAAGUGGAGUUGGAAAUGCUGACGAAAACAGGAAUCAACCACCAGUGAUUGAGCCAAUACCUGUCGUAGCAGCAGCACCUGAGCCAAUAACCAUGGCUGGUGUGCAAUUGAUGAUUCAGACGAUGUUGGAUCGUCAGAUGGAUGAAACUAGACGGUUGCUUCAACAAAAUCGUGAAGAACUGUCGAUUCGUGUGGAAGAGCCUGAACUGAAUGAAGGGCACUCGGAAGGUGGAAACUUCAGUGGGUCUGUUGGUCCAGCCAACCCACCGAUAGUUAGGCAAGAUAACCAUGAUGGAAGGAAUGAUGGAAUGGGAUGCAAGUACAAGGACUUUUUGACUUGUAAACCAUCGACCUUCAAUGGAAAGGAGGAUCCGAUUGGGGUUAUGGAUUGGAUCUCCGAAAUGGAGUUAGCCUUUAUGACAUGUGGCUGUAGAGGCAAGUUGCAGACUAUCUAUGCCGUGCGACAAUUCCGAGGUGGAGCCGUUCGUUGGUGGAACACUCUAGGGAAGACCUUAAGCCCUAAUGAGCCACUGCAAUUGUCAUGGGCAGAGUUCUUGGUGCAGUUCAAGCGCAAGUUCUGCUCGGCUCAAAAUCUGUUGGAGUUGGAGAACAAGUUUUUGACAUUGACGAAGGGUAGCAUGUCAGUGGAUGAGUACACCAAUAACUUCACCGAUAAGAUGGAGUUUGCCUUGCGUAUCGUUCCAGACGAGCUGACAAAGGUGGAUCGGUAUGCGAAGGGACUUCCAUGGGAGUACGAGGUGCCGGUACGUCAGGCACUUACUCUAGAGGCAGCUAUCUGGGCUGCCAAGUCUGUGGAGAACAUGAUCAAGGGGAGAACCACCGUCAAGGUUGAGGUUGGUGAGAAAAGGAAGUUUGAAGGAACAUCUGGUUCCAGUAAGAAGAGCAAAUUUUCGAAAUCUGAUUCGAAAAAGUUUGGAGGAAAAGGAGGCGAAGCAAAGUGGUGUGAUAAGUGUAAGAAAAAGCACUUUGGGAAAUGUAGCGAGGAUGUGACCUGCUACAAGUGUGGAAAGGUUGGACAUUUUGCCAAUGAAUGUCCGAACAACAAAAGGAUGUGUUUUGGGUGUAAUGAAGAGGGGCAUAUUUUGAAAGACUGUCCGAAGAAGAAGGAGGCAGCUAGGCCCAACAUUCCACCAAAGCCGAAGGCGAGAGCCUUCCAGAUGACACUUGAGGCUGCGAAAGAUGAAGCUGAUGUCGCUUCAGGUACCUUUCUCGUAAACGAAUUACCUGCUCAUAUAUUGUUUGAUUCUGGAGCCAACUACUCCUUUAUUUCGCAUGAGUUUGGUAGAAAGCUAGCUUUGCCUGUUGAUAGACUAGAUAAUGCUUUAUUAGUCGAAGUAGCUAGUGGCAAGUUUGUACCUGUUAGCCAUCGUAUGAAAAACGUCUUGAUCGACCUUAAUGGGAAUAAGUUUCUCGAGGAAUUAUUGCCUAUCGAACUAAAUGGUUUCGACAUCGUCUUGGGAAUGGAUUGGCUUAGCGCCAAUGAUGCCGAAAUUUUGUGCAAGAAGAAGAUAGUUAAAGUAAACCCGCCUGGGAAAGAUUCGUUUAUGGUGUAUGGGGACAAACGCAGAGUGAAUUCUGGAAUCAUUUCUCUAAUGAAAGCCAGAAAGUGUUUGACCAAGGGAUGUACAUCAUAUUUAGCAUUCGUGAUUGAUGCUAAGAAAGAAAAGAAGGUGAUGCAGAGCAUUCCAGUGGUGUGUGAUUAUCCGGAAGUAUUUCCCGAGGAUCUUCCUGGAUUACCACCUGAUAGACAAGUGGAGUUCAGAAUAGACUUGUUACCAGGAACCACGCCAAUAGCAAAAGCACCUUAUCGAUUAGCACCGACGGAGAUGAAGGAGCUGAUGAUGCAACUUCAGGAGUUAUUGGACAAAGGUUUCAUUAGACCUAGUUCAUCGCCCUGGGGAGCUCCGGUGUUAUUUGUAAAGAAGAAAGAUGGAAGUAUGAGAAUGUGCAUCGAUUACAGAGAGCUGAACAAGGCAACAAUAAAGAAUAGAUAUCCGUUGCCGAGGAUUGAUGACCUGUUUGAUCAAUUGCAAGGUUCGAGCUAUUUCUCGAAGAUCGAUCUUAGGUCAGGAUAUCAUCAGCUGAAAGUAAGAGAGCAAGAUAUCGAGAAGACUGCAUUCAGAACUAGAUAUGGACACUACGAGUUCUUGGUUAUGUCGUUUGGACUAACCAAUGCUCCAGCAGCGUUCAUGGAUUUGAUGAAUAGGGUUUGUAAUCCUUUCCUUGAUAAAUCCGUGAUAGUGUUCAUAGACGACAUUCUGAUCUACUCGAAAAGCCAGGAGGAGCAUGGCAGACACUUGCGAGAAGUGUUAGAAGUUUUGAAGAAGGAGAAGCUUUAUGCGAAGUUCUCCAAAUGUGAUUUUUGGAUUCGUGAGGUCCAAUUCUUGGGUCACGUGGUCAACCAAGAAGGGAUAAUGGUUGAUCCAGCGAAGAUCGAAGCUGUGACGAAGUGGGAACAACCGAAAAGUCCCACGGAGAUUCGAAGCUUUUUAGGAUUAGCCGGAUAUUACCGAAGGUUUAUCCAAGGCUUUUCUUCGAUUGCUACUCCAUUAACAGCUUUGACCCACAAAGGAGCUACUUAUGCUUGGAGUGAGAAGCAUAAAGAAGCAUUCGAGAAGUUAAAGAAGAAGCUAUGCGAGGCACCGAUACUUUCUCUACCCGAUGGAGUUGAAGACUUCGCUGUUUAUAGCGAUGCGUCUGGUGUUGGAUUGGGUUGUGUUUUGACCCAAAGAGAAAAGGUGAUAGCAUAUGCGUCUCGACAGCUGAAAGAGCAUGAAAAGAAUUACCCGACUCAUGAUUUGGAGUUGGCAGCGGUAGUUUUCGCUCUGAAAAUAUGGAGGCAUUACCUCUAUGGCACGAAGUGCAAACUUUUCACUGAUCAUAAGAGUCUCCAAUACCUCUUUAAUCAGAAAGAAUUGAAUAUGAGGCAACGACGCUGGCUAGAAUUACUUAAAGACUACGACUGCGAGAUACUUUACCACCCCGGUAAAGCUAAUGUUGUUGCUGAUGCUCUCAGUCGGAAAGUCAAUCUUGAAAGGAAGAGGCCAAGAGCGUUGAGAAUUGAAGUUGUCUCGACUAUUGUGGAAAGUAUAAAGAAAGCUCAAGAGGAAGCUUCUGAGAAAAAUGACCGAAAGGAGGAACGUUUGGGUAAAACGUUGGUGUUUGGUACUAACGGUCAUGGACUGAAGGUAUUCCAAGAUCGUAUUUGGGUACCUAAGUCAGGAGGAAUUAGGGAUCUUCUGAUGGAAGAAGCUCACAAAACCAUGUACUCAAUUCAUCCGGGUAGCACUAAAAUGUAUAGGGACCUGAAACCCUACUACUGGUGGCCGACGAUGAAGCUUGAUGUUGCAAAGUAUGUGGCCGAGUGUGUGACUUGUGCGAGAGUCAAGACACAACAUCAGAAACCUUACGGGAGUUUAGAACCAUUGCCUGUGCCUAUGGGUAAGUGGGAAGACAUUGCUAUGGAUUUUGUCACUAAACUGCCCAGAACAAAGAAUGGUCACGACAUGAUUUGGGUGGUCGUUGAUCGAUUCACUAAGAGUGCGCAUUUCAUAGCGGCCAGGGAGAAAUGGUCUAUGGAAAAGCUUGCGAAUUCUUACGUGAAGGAAAUUGUGAGGCUUCACGGUGUUCCGUUAACGAUUGUAUCGGAUCGUGAUAGCCGUUUCACCUCAAGGUUUUGGAAAAGUCUACAAGAGGAAAUGGGUACCAAGUUAUGUUUAAGCACAGCUUACCAUCCGCAGACUGAUGGUCAGAGUGAAAGAACAAUACAAACACUUGAAGAUAUGCUGAGAGCAUGUACCUUGGAAUUCCUAGGUAAUUGGGAUGAACAUUUACCGUUGGUAGAAUUUUCCUAUAAUAAUAGUUUUCACUCGAGCAUUAAGAUGGCACCUUAUCAAGCUUUGUAUGGACAGAAGUGUCGUACGCCGUCUUGUUGGCUUGAGGCUGGGGAAAAGCAGUUUAUGGGACCGGAGAUGGUUCAUCAAACUGCUGAAAAGUUGAAAAUAAUUAGGGAAAGAAUGUUAGCAGCUCAAGAUCGUCAAAAGAGCUAUGCUGACAAGAAGCGAAGACCGAUGACUUUUGAGGUUGGAGAUUCGGUUUUGCUUAAAGUCUCGCCGUGGAAGGGACUUAUAAGAUUUGGUAAAAGGGGAAAGUUGAGUCCAAGGUUUAUUGGACCGUUUAAAGUCCUUCAGAGGAUUGGGAAUCAAGCUUACAAGCUCGAAUUACCCGAAGAACUGAAUGGAAUUCACAACACCUUUCAUGUGUGUUAUUUGAGGAAGUUCACGGGAGAAGUUCCCGAUAUAAUUCCAAUUUCUGAAUUGAGAAUUGAUGAGAACAAAAGGUUGAUUGAAGAACCAGAGGCAAUUGUUGACCGAAAGACUAAGAAGUUGCGACGCAAAAUGGUUGGGUUAGUGCUUGUCCGAUGGAAACACACGAAUGGGCCGAAUCUCACCUGGGAGACGGAGAGUGACAUGUUGAGUCGCUAUCCGCAUUUGUUUGUUGAUGUGUGAUUCCGGGGACGGAAUCAUUCUAAGGUGGAGAGAAUUGUAACGCCUGUGUUUCCGGGCUUGCCAUUUUUAGCAAUGUAAUAGUCUAGGUUAACCUUUGUAACCCGUUUUGAAAUAAUAAGAUUGUAUUAUUUGAGUAUUAUGUGUUUUGUGCUUAAUUGCUUAAUUAUGUGGUUUGAUUAAUUAAGAAUAAAAAUAAGCGUCAAAAUUUAAGUGUAAAAUAAACUUAAUAUCUUUGGUUAAUGUUGUAGUAGUUGAAACGAGGUUUCCGAAUAUAUAUAGAACGCCCAAAUCUGACUUCGUAUGAGGAAGUUAUGAUUUAUCGAAGUUCCGGCUUAGCGAUAUACAGCCUGUUUUACUCGAUUUGAGAUCGAGCGGUUGUUAGCCGAAGCAAUCUAAAUGAGAAUCGAAGAUCUCAUUGUUGGUAUUGAAACGAUAAAAAGUUAGGCGAGAACGGACGUCAAACGAAGAAGUUAUGAAUUUAUAACGAAAGUUUCUGUCCCGGCCUAUUAAAAAUAAUUAAUAAAAAUAAAGUCAAAAUUAGCCGACGGAGUCUAAACGAAAGUCGUAGAGCGUGGUCUCACCUUCGCGUGGAUAUAAAGAACGUCGAAAACGGAGUUCGUAUGAAGAAGUUAUGAAUUUCCGAAGUUUAUUAAUCAUUUUGUAUUUAUUUUUAAUUCAAAAUUCGGAAGCAUUAUCCGAAGGAGUCACCGAUCUGAUCCGAGGUACGCCCCGCGUACUCGAGUACGCCCCGCGUACUCCGAGGGAUGUCGACACUCGCACUCGAGCACUUCGGAUACGUAAGCAAUGACGUUUUGGGCAGUACGCCCCGCGUAACGCAGUACGCCCCGCGUACUCCGAGGCUCCAGCCUCCUAUAAAUAGGAUGCGAGGGUUCCGGGUAUUUUUGCCAAUUCCCUCUCGUUUUCGUGUCGAAGCUCUGUGCAAAAACCCCCGAAGCUACCCCGAAGUCCCGGUAUCAUACUCUAGCCCCGAGGCAAGUCCCGAGAUCCUGAAGAUCCCGAAAAGUGCGGUUCCCGAGUCGAAGCUCUGCCCGCGAGAAGUUCGAUUUUCGAGAAGAUCUUCCAGAUCUGCUGUGGAUUACUACUUCUAUAAGCCGUAGUGCUGUCCGAUCAUCUUCUGAUCAAGUGAGUGUGUAGUUAUUUCUUCUAAUACAAUAAUACGAAGUAUUUUAUAUAAAAAUACGUGCUAUGUGUAUAUAUUUGGUUGUGUUAUGUGUGAAUGAGUAUUCACUCUCUUCUAUCUUAUAGAUCUGCUUAUUUCUUUAUGAGAUAUGUGUUAUGUGUGUGUGUGCCUCAUCUGUUAUGUGAUAUAUGUGUUGAUUAAAGCAUGCUAUACAGGUUUUCUUUAAACUACGUAUGAAAAUAUAUAUUUUUAUCUACUAAUAUGUUGGGUAGAACAUGGGUAGAUAGUUGGUGUGUAAUAAACAGAUGAGAGGCCUCGAUGUUGUUGUUGUUGUUGAUCUAGUUAUUCAGCGGAGUAUGGAUAACGACCACGGACUCUUUCUAGACAGUCCAGUGGAACGCUAGCAGGUUCAUAACCUGUAGGUGUUGUGAACGAUGUGUUCACCGGUGUACUCUAUCCCCCUCAUGGUUGCCUUUAGGAUAUCUAUUGUUGAGGAAACCCCUUCGCAGUGAUGUCCGUCCCGAUGAAAAUCCUAGAUUAGGUCCCUUGAGAUAGUUGUUUUAGGGAUGUAAAGUGAGGAUAACGGGAAUGGGUAAUCGGGAUAGUGAUUGGUUGGUGAAAUUAAAUAUAACUUAUUUAUUGUGGGUUGAAAACCCUAUAUGCUCACCAGGCUCCCAAGCCUGACCCACUCAGUUUUAUUUGUAUUACAGGAAGUGGCACAGGGGCGUAAGAUGGAUGGAUCAUCUUGUUGUUUUGUUUACAAGUCUGUAUAUGUAUAUAUUUGUUGAAUGACUUGUAAUGUUUAUCGUUUAUGCUUUAUGGUCUGUAUCGGAACAUGACAUCCCGAGUUUUGAUUAUAUAAUGAAAUGCAUCUCUUGAUGAAAUGCUUUGAUAAAUAUUAUUUUAUCAUGUUUUGUUUUGGGAACAAAUUCCGCAACUCUUUCAAAUCAAAAGGAUUUACUCUGAAAAUAUUUAAAAGCAUAAAUGAAAAUCGGUCUUUUCUGGCCGAGAUUUUGGGGAUGUCACAGUAAACCCGUUUGUUUUUCUGAUUAAUCUUCUUCUUCUUUUUCUUUCUCAUCUUUUUGCAUCUUGAAGACUCGAUCUUAUGAACAAACCCACUUUCCACAACAUCAACUUUGUGAAUUUGAAUCAAAUCUUUUGGAGUUUGAUAUUUGUGAAUUUCUUGGAUCAUCGGCUUCCGAUACAGAAUCAUUCCUUCAAACGAAUCACAAGAACACCCAAUAUCAUCGGUUUAAACUUCAAUUGAGCAAAAAACUUUUUCAUCAUG